GACGAACGCUGGCGGCGUGCCUAAUACAUGCAAGUCGAACGCAUUUUCUUUCACCGUAGCUUGCUACACCGAAAGAAAAUGAGUGGCGAACGGGUGAGUAACACGUGGGUAACCUGCCCAUCAGCGGGGGAUAACACUUGGAAACAGGUGCUAAUACCGCAUAAUUCCAUUUACCGCAUGGUAAAUGGAUGAAAGGCGCUUUUGCGUCACUGAUGGAUGGACCCGCGGUGCAUUAGCUAGUGGGUGGGGUAACGGCCUACCAAGGCUGCGAUGCAUAGCCGACCUGAGAGGGUGAUCGGCCACACUGGGACUGAGACACGGCCCAGACUCCUACGGGAGGCAGCAGUAGGGAAUCUUCGGCAAUGGACGCAAGUCUGACCGAGCAACGCCGCGUGAGUGAAGAAGGUUUUCGGAUCGUAAAACUCUGUUGUUAGAGAAGAACAAGGAUGAGAGUGGAAAGUUCAUCCCUUGACGGUAUCUAACCAGAAAGCCACGGCUAACUACGUG
This 507-nucleotide ribosomal RNA is filed under the name uncultured bacterium. Its description in RNAcentral is "partial 16S ribosomal RNA". It matches the Rfam family "Bacterial small subunit ribosomal RNA", at positions 28 to 507 of the family's 1533-position model. The record is from RNAcentral.